Molecule: ribosomal RNA, 497 nt
Filed under: uncultured bacterium
Lineage: Bacteria
Description: partial 16S ribosomal RNA
Rfam family: Bacterial small subunit ribosomal RNA
Source: RNAcentral
GAUGAACGCUGGCGGCGUGCCUAAUACAUGCAAGUCGAGCGAACGGACGAGAAGCUUGCUUCUCUGAUGUUAGCGGCGGACGGGUGAGUAACACGUGGAUAACCUACCUAUCAGACUGGGAUAACUUCGGGAAACCGGAGCUAAUCCCGGAUAAUCUUUUGAACCGCAUGGUUCAAAAGUGAAAGACGGUCUUGCUGUCACUUAUAGAUGGAUCCGCGCUGCAUUAGCUAGUUGGUAAGGUCACGGCUUACCAAGGCAACGAUGCAUAGCCGACCGGAGAGAGUGAUCGGCCACAUGGGAACGGAGACGCGGUCCAGGCGCCUACGGGAGGCAGCAGUAGGGAAUCGGCCGCAAUGGGCGAAAGCCUGACGGAGCAACGCCGCGUGAGUGAUGAAGGUCUUCGGAUCGUAAAACUCUGUUAUUAGGGAAGAACAUAUGUGUAAGGAACUGUGCACAUCUUGACGGUACCGAGUCAGAAAGCCACGGCUAACUACGUG